UACGGAGGGAGCUAGCGUUGUUCGGAAUCACUGGGCGUAAAGCGCACGUAGGCGGAUUGUUAAGUCAGGGGUGAAAUCCUGGAGCUCAACUCCAGAACUGCCUUUGAUACUGGCGAUCUCGAGUCCGGGAGAGGUGAGUGGAACUGCGAGUGUAGAGGUGAAAUUCGUAGAUAUUCGCAAGAACACCAGUGGCGAAGGCGGCUCACUGGCCCGUUACCGACGCUCAGGCGCGACAGCGUGGGGAGCAAACAGG
This 253-nucleotide ribosomal RNA is filed under the name uncultured bacterium. RNAcentral's name for it is "partial 16S ribosomal RNA". It matches the Rfam family "Bacterial small subunit ribosomal RNA", at positions 524 to 776 of the family's 1533-position model. The record is from RNAcentral.